RNAcentral lists this unclassified non-coding RNA (182 nucleotides) under Clostridioides difficile. RNAcentral's name for it is "16S-23S ribosomal RNA intergenic spacer (ISR)". The record is from RNAcentral. Lineage: Bacteria; Bacillati; Bacillota; Clostridia; Peptostreptococcales; Peptostreptococcaceae.
ACCUACUGUUUAAUUUUGAGGGUUCGUUUUUACGAAUACUCAAAAUUAGCACUUUUAGCACUCUGAAAACUGCAUAUAUAUUUAGUGAUAUGACAUCUAAUUUGUAAUAUAUAAAACUGAUAACUUUUUAAAAUUAUCGAAGUUGAUAGCUUCUAAUCUAUCAAACCUUUUUAACUGGUCAA